GGACGUAAGGGGGACCUGGCUGCGACAACUGUCGCCCCAUUGAUCGCCGGGGUCGAUUCGGCUGAUCUGGCUGGCGCGGCGGGUGUCCUCUCUCCUUCAGCGCUCCAUGUGCGUCCUUCCCGAAGCCGCCCUCAGCCGAGGGAGGGCCCCCGCAGUAGAGGAGAGCGCUCCUCGGUCGAGGGCCCAUGAGUAGCUGUGCUUCCCUGCUAAAACUUCCAAACAACUCCCAAGUAAGUGAGGAAGAAAUGAAGUUCGCAACUCAGGAGAACAGAGAAAGAGGGGAUGUCUUACUCACUUUCUUU
RNAcentral lists this small nuclear RNA (302 nucleotides) under Chinchilla lanigera (long-tailed chinchilla). Its description in RNAcentral is "7SK RNA (ENSCLAG00000021573.1)". It matches the Rfam family "7SK RNA". From Rfam's summary of the family: 7SK was discovered as an abundant small nuclear RNA in the mid-70s but a possible function has only recently been suggested. Two independent studies have found that 7SK RNA binds the CDK9/cyclin T complex (known as elongation factor P-TEFb). The record is from Rfam by way of RNAcentral. Lineage: Eukaryota; Metazoa; Chordata; Mammalia; Rodentia; Chinchillidae.